This 200-nucleotide small nucleolar RNA is filed under the name Hucho hucho (huchen). Its description in RNAcentral is "Small nucleolar RNA U3 (ENSHHUG00000019001.1)". It matches the Rfam family "Small nucleolar RNA U3". From Rfam's summary of the family: Small nucleolar RNAs (snoRNAs) are involved in the processing and modification of rRNA in the nucleolus. There are two main classes of snoRNAs: the box C/D class, and the box H/ACA class. U3 snoRNA is a member of the box C/D class. Lineage: Eukaryota; Metazoa; Chordata; Actinopteri; Salmoniformes; Salmonidae. The record is from RNAcentral.
AAAACAAUGACCCCAAGCAUUACUCAUUUGUGAAACCUCGCAAAGUAGUAGGUCUUGCUAUUCACGAUGACGAUUCAAAUGAUUCCCUUUCAGAGCAUGAAUCUGGUGGCCAGAAAUGACUUUGCACAUUUUCAUCCACCUUUGAUGACUGUUCCUUGUUCUUCAAUGAACAUGGAAGAAGGGAAUAUGUUCUGAGUGGA